GCUAGUUUCUCCUCAUUGCACAACAGUAUGACUGCUACAGAGACAGCAAACAGAGGAAGGGGAGAAUGGGUUACAAUCAGGUACUUGGCUAGGAUCAAGACUGGAUACUUUCGGCUUGGAUGAAAAACAGAAGAAGCUGUGACUACUCAGAGCCAGGGGGACAGCCAGACCAAAAAUUGUUGGGGAAAAAAGGAAGCUCAAAGGCCAAAAGAUAGAAGCCAAGUGUCAAAUCCAAGAACAAAAGGCAAGAAUCAAUGCAAGGAUCAAAAAGCCCCGUGACCUUGAUGUCAAAAUUCGAGCUGAUCAGAGCCAACCCAGCAGGAAAUGGGUUUCUAGAAGAACUGUCUCAGAUAUGUCUGGGCCUUCAUGAUCCCCUGUAAGGACCAGCAGGUAUAUGAUACCUGGGAAGAUGACAAUGGCUUCCAAGACUGAGGUUGGGCAGACCACCAAAGAUCCCAAAAUAAAAGCAAAGGUUUAAAUUUAAAUAACUAGCAUGGCAAGAAGCAAAGUACUCAUUGCAUUAUGAAAAUCUGAAAGUAGAAUUUCUCUUGGUGCAGCAAAGGAUCUCUAGUAAGAAAUAACAUGAGAAAACAUAGGUGUUAUGAUCGUUAUAAAGGUUGAUGAUUCUUAAGUACAUUCGAGGAUGCUAAAGUUCUAACAAUGUUCAGGUGCAGGGAUCAAGUGUCUUUUACAUAAUCCUUCCACCAGAAGACAUCAAGUUUAACUGAAAUUCAAAUCUGAACAAUAGGACAACCAUCUGGAAAAUAACGCUGCAAAACUACUACACAGCAAGUAAGUCAAUCUGCAAAGCUGCAAUGAAGUAAAACCGACUGAAGAGUAUGUUAUGUACUGUAGGCUAUACCAAUCUGUGCAUGUGAAUAACUGUCAAUAUCCCAACCUAAAAUAAUUUUAAUGAUGGGAAUAAACAUUAAAUAUUUACCAGCUGGUGCACCACUAGAUCAAUGGGCUCAUCUCCCUCCCCUGAGUACACACAAUAAUAAAUGAAUAGACUUGGGCUUCCAACAGCAAGAAAAAGAUUGCCUCAAAAUUGGAAAUCAAUGAUACCACUAUGGUUACAUCAAUAGGUGAAGCGAUAAAUGGAGGCUGCUGUCAUUUAAAAAAAUAUAUUGUAAUAACAGAGAAAAAAAAGCUAAAGGGAAGUUUUUCUUAUGUUUGCUUUAUUUACUUUCUAAUUUUCAAAAUGAAUUUUGACAGAAGUCCUUGGCCAUUUGUACUUUUUAAAAGAACAUGUUGUUCCAAACUAACAAUGUCUCCUAAUAUGAAAUCCAGUUUCUGUCAAUCUGUCCAUAAAAAUAUUUUAGGUUUAGAUUUUUCAGUUUAUGUCUGGUGCUAAGAAAAUGUAUGACAAUUAAACCGAUUGAGAGGGAACAGGAGAUGGGGUUACAGGACAUAGUGUCAUAGGAACAAGUAAAAUAAAAACACGUUUUAAAAUGUUAAAAUUUAAUCUCUAUUUUAUUCUAUUAAAUUUUGUGCCUUAUAAGAUAUGCUGAACCAAGUGUUCCCAAGUUAUGACUUACCAUGGAAAAUUCUGAUGUGAAUGUUUUCUCUUAGAAAUAAAGCUAUUGAGCUGUAAGAGUUGAUAUAACUAUUGUCUUUUAAGUUUAUUUGAGCAAAUGGUUGAUAGUAAGAGCUCCACUAAAAUACCGAGUUGGUUCAUUUACACAUCCCUUCAACCUACUCAGUGAGGGACUGUCAGCCUUCCAGCAGCAUGAUGAUAACACCUCCAUGGCUGUUAUCCUCUUCAUCCUAGUCAAGUGGCACUGUGACAAAACCUAAGAAAUACCUGAUAGGAUAUGCUGGCACUUCAGCCAGAAAUUUUUCCCCUGACUACUGCAUUCUUACUAUCUGAAUCAAAAAAUUGGAACAAGUCAACUCUAAGGAUGAGACAACAAUAACAGAUGGCAUCAAGGGGACACUUGGGUUGAAUCAGAAAAUAUGUCUCCCUUUUGAGAAAAGAAUUGGCACUAAUCAAAGGGAAAUAUAAAUUACAAUUUGGUACAAGCAAGGAGUCCUAGGAAGUAGAAGCCAUUUCAGAGCCCUAAAAAUACUUUAUUUCUUCAGUUGCUAUUUUGAAAAUUGCUUUUCCCUGUAUAAUAUUCAGUAGGAUUCAGAUAAUUUGAAAGGAGCAAAAAGCCUUGUUAGCUCUUUUCUAUAUCAUAAAAUCCAUUCUUUGUCAUUUUACAUAUUCAUCGCUGUAUUUUCUUGGGUGUAAUAUUUUUUUAAAUGGUGUCUGAAAAGUGAAAUUAUUUUUCACAAAAAGAAUGUAUCUGUUAUGAUUUUCCUGGUAAUGAUUUUUGCACAUUAUCUAUCAU
Molecule: long non-coding RNA, 2333 nt
Organism: Homo sapiens (human)
Lineage: Eukaryota; Metazoa; Chordata; Mammalia; Primates; Hominidae
Source: Ensembl